CACGUAGGGCGCAAGCGUUGUCCGGAAUUAUUGGGCGUAAAGAGCUCUGUAGGCGGGUUUGUCGCGUCUGCUGUGAAAACCCGAAGGCUCAACCUCGGGCCUGCAGUGGGUACGGGCAGACUAGAGUGCGGUAGGGGAGAUUGGAAUUCCUGGUGUAGCGGUGGAAUGCGCAGAUAAUCAGGAGGAACACCAAUGGCGAAGGCAGAUCUCUGGGCCGUAACUGACGCUGAGGAGCGAAAGCAUGGGAGCGAACAGG
Molecule: ribosomal RNA, 256 nt
Filed under: uncultured bacterium
Lineage: Bacteria
Description: partial 16S ribosomal RNA
Rfam family: Bacterial small subunit ribosomal RNA
Source: RNAcentral